AUUGAACGCUGGCGGCAGGCCUAACACAUGCAAGUCGAGCGAGCGGCGGAGGGGUGAGUAAUGUAUGGGGAUCUGCCAGAUAGAGGGGGAUAACUACUGGACACGGGGGCUAAUACCGCAUACUCACGGAUGAACCCAUAGGGGAUUAGAGAGUAGGUGGGGUAAAGGCUCACCUAGGAGACGCUCUCUCGCUGGUCUGAGAGGAUGAUCAGCCACACUGGGACUGAGACACGGCCCAGACUCCUACGGGAGGCAGCAGUGGGGAAUAUUGCACAAUGGGCGCAAGCCUGAUGCAGCCAUGCCGCGUGUGUGAAGAAGGCCUUAGGGUUGUAAAGUACUUUCAGCGGGGAGGCGUUACCCGCAGAAGAAGCACCGGCUAACUCCGUGCCAGCAGCCGCGGUAAUUC
This 406-nucleotide ribosomal RNA is filed under the name uncultured bacterium. RNAcentral's name for it is "partial 16S ribosomal RNA". It matches the Rfam family "Bacterial small subunit ribosomal RNA", at positions 29 to 526 of the family's 1533-position model. The record is from RNAcentral.